Molecule: long non-coding RNA, 1257 nt
Organism: Manihot esculenta (cassava)
Lineage: Eukaryota; Viridiplantae; Streptophyta; Magnoliopsida; Malpighiales; Euphorbiaceae
Exons: 3
Source: RefSeq, a predicted model, not a curated record
UUAGUAUAAGCAUUCUUUGAUUUCCAACUUGCGUUGGCCAAAGCUAGCUUUUAUUUUGCCUUAUACCAGUUUUCAUCUGCUUUCUUGAUCUCCCUAAUUCUGUUAUGCCAUUUUAUUGGAUACCAUUUCCUUUGUCUUAUCCAACUGAAGUUCAGUGAACUUCUUAUGCUCAAACAGCUUUUCUUUCCUGGAAAUCAUUCUGAAUUUAGUUCUUCCUCUUCCUUAGAUAUCUUGGAAAGCUCAGCCACUGAAGAAUGGAGCAGUUCUGUACUUGAGCUGGACAUUUAUUCAGCUUUCUAGACUUCUUGAAAAAAGAUGUUCUUUGAGCUUGGGUUCUCUCUGCAGUGGUCAAAGCUAGGAGUACUCAAUAAAAUAAGCUUUUGCAGGCUUGCUUUCUCCUAUAAAUUAGCAGAAUGAUGAGUCAAGGUGUUGAUAGUAUUUUCAAUUUCAUUGAAGGCAUUCGCUUGAUGAAUAGCUUCUAAUGACGGAUUGAAGUAAUGUCUUAAUGCCUGCUUCUGUCGCUGCAAAGAGUCAAAGGAGGGACUGUAUCCUGAGUUUUUGACUUUGAUGGGGUUGGGAUAUUCUAGUUAUUAUUUAACAAUAAUAUAUAAGGGGGUGUCAGUGAUUUUCUUGGGAAAAUUGUAUCAAUGGUAACUCAGCCUUCAAUUUUGGUUCAUAAUCUCUUGUUAUGCAUUUGAAACUGAUUCUCAUAUGUCAAAAAUGAUGCGUGUAGGUUGAUUAGUUGGACACAACAUAUCAUCUUUUGUGAUUUGAAAAUUAUGGGUAGUGACAAUAAUUGGGCAGGAACAAAAAUUUUGCAUUUUUUAUGAAAAAUAUGAAUUUACAAUUGAAUAUGCAUCCUUACAAAUCUAAUUGCGACUCUUUAGCAGCUGCAAAUUGGUAAUUGAUGUCUUGUUGCAUGAUGCUGGAAAGGGAAAGAUGAUGAACAGCAACUGCUAGCUAUGGACACCAGCACUGCUCUCUCUACAUCUUUAGAGGCAUUCUGUCUGAUCAGAGCAAUUGCAUAUUCUAUAAGGUCUGCAUCACAAGGGAAAGAAGGAAUCGUUUUUGAUCUGCAGAGUACACAACAAAAUGGCCUUUCUCAGCUAUCAAUGAAGUAUCUAUACUUCCUAUGUUUUGUGACGACAUGAUUCUUCUUCGCCUGAUAGCAGCCAUCUUCUGCCAUUUCCUGGCUAAUUUCAGAAGUUUCUUGGGAAAGUAUGUGACUUGGUUAUAUAUUCACAUGGCCAGACAAUC